GAAAAGUUUUAUUUUGGCUUGAAUAUUGAAUUUAUUAUUAUUUUAUAUGUAGUUUUUCUUGAUGAUUAUAUAGCAGUAGAUAUAAUUUUUUAUUGGAUAGAUCUUGAUUGAGUAAUUAAUUUUAGUAUAGACAAAAUUUGUGCCAGCAGUCGCGGUUAUACAAAUUAUGCGGUUCAAUUUUAUUAGGAAGGAAUUAAUAUUAUUUAAGGAAAAUUAAGUUUUUAUAUUGAAGGUGAAAUUUUAUAUGAUAUUAUAAUUUUUAAGAUUGAUGUUUCUAAAUUUAUCACGAAACUAGGAUUAGAUACCCUAUUAUUGUAAGUGUAAAUAUGGUUUCUUGUUAGUAAAAGUUAUUUCUUGAAAAUAAAAGAUUUUGGCGGUGUUUUGUUUAUUUAGAGGAACCUGUUUUGUAAUUGAUAAUCCACGAUUUAAUUUACUUUAUUUAAAUAGCUUGUAUAUCGCCGUUUUUGAAAAUUUUAAUAGGAUUUUAAUUUUCUUGGUUUAUAUUAGAAUUGAGGUCAGGUCAAGGUGCAGUUUAUAGUAAAGUGGAAAUGGGUUACAAUAAAUUUAUUUAUUAUGGAUGUUUCUUUGUAAUAGGAGAUUUAAGGUGGAUUUAAAGGUAAAUUUUUAUAAAUAUUUUUUUUGAUAGAUUUUUCAAGACAUGUACAUAUCGCCCGUCGCUCUCAUUAAUAAUAUGAGAUAAGUCGUAACAAAGUAGAUGUACUGGAAAGUGUAUCUGGAUAGA
RNAcentral lists this non-coding RNA (742 nucleotides) under Anthrenus museorum. Lineage: Eukaryota; Metazoa; Arthropoda; Insecta; Coleoptera; Dermestidae. The record is from RNAcentral.